Molecule: ribosomal RNA, 506 nt
Filed under: uncultured bacterium
Lineage: Bacteria
Description: partial 16S ribosomal RNA
Rfam family: Bacterial small subunit ribosomal RNA
Source: RNAcentral
AGUGAACGCUGGCGGUAGGCCUAACACAUGCAAGUCGAACGGCAGCACAGGAGAGCUUGCUCUCUGGGUGGCGAGUGGCGGACGGGUGAGGAAUACAUCGGAAUCUACUUUUUCGUGGGGGAUAACGUGGGGAAACUUACGCUAAUACCGCAUACGACCUACGGGUGAAAGCAGGGGAUCUUCGGACCUUGCGCGAUUGAAUGAGCCGAUGUCGGAUUAGCUAGUUGGCGGGGUAAAGGCCCACCAAGGCGACGAUCCGUAGCUGGUCUGAGAGGAUGAUCAGCCACCCUGGAACUGAGACACGGUCCAGACUCCUACGGGAGGCAGCAGUGGGGAAUAUUGGACAAUGGGCGCAAGCCUGAUCCAGCCAUACCGCGUGGGUGAAGAAGGCCUUCGGGUUGUAAAGCCCUUUUGUUGGGAAAGAAAUCCAGCUGGUUAAUACCCGGUUGGGAUGACGGUACCCAAAGAAUAAGCACCGGCUAACUUCGUGCCAGCAGCCGCCGUAA